RNAcentral lists this long non-coding RNA (467 nucleotides) under Junco hyemalis (dark-eyed junco). RNAcentral describes it as "lncRNA (ENSJHYG00000015344.1)". Lineage: Eukaryota; Metazoa; Chordata; Aves; Passeriformes; Passerellidae. The record is from RNAcentral.
AUACCUCCUCCCUCUAAAAUUACUGCAAAUAUUUUUUUCCCCAAAAAAUAUUUUAAGGAUUGAAGGGUGAAAGAGGACCUACUGGGCUUCCAGGAUUUCCAGGCCAAAGAGGUCUUGAUGGCAGAGAUGGAGAACUAGGAUUGCCAGGGGAAAAAGGAGCUGAGGGCGAUUCUGGAGUAGCAAUUCCGGGUGAUAAAGGAUUCCCUGGGCUCCCAGGACCUCCUGGGGUAAAAGGCCAGAUGGGAUUGCCUGGUUUGGGGCUUCCUGGGUCUCCAGGAGCCAGAGGUAGCCCUGGAGACUCUGGAGAUAUGGGUAAUGUUGGGCCACCUGGUCCAAAAGGCCAGAAAGGUGAAACUGUCUGCAUUACAUCACCAUAUCCUGGAAAUCCAGGUCCCCCAGGUUUUAAAGGCGUUCAAGGUAUGUUUAUUGAAUAAUUUUUGAUUUAUACUGAAAUGGAAUUUGAAGUU